UUUAGGCAGUUAAGCUGCCUUAUGCGAGCACCCUAGAUUUGUGUUCUACCCAAUAAAUGCUGAAAUACGUGCCAUUGUUAUUAUCUAGCUGAAUAGUAUGUUAUUUAUAACUAAUUGAACAGUUUUUUCAUACUUUUAAUUCUGGAUUACAAAAAAUAUGACCAGAAAAACCUUAAAUGAUCGUCGAUUUAUCCAAAAGUUUUGAAGUUGCACGUAGGAAGUAGAGCACAUUAGGAAUCCUUAUGUAGUUUAUUAUCCCCUGAGCUUUUGGCUAAGAUGUCAAAGAACAAAUGUAUGAAAUAUUUAAUCGCCGAAAAUUUCUAAAGACAGGUAGUUUAGAUUUCCCAAAUGGCAAAAGUCGUAGGAAUAUUGUUUGUCAUCAAUACGUAGUCAACUACGUCAGUAGUCUAUUAAAAUUCAUACUGUUGGCGGCAAUUUUAAAUUAGAAGACGAAAUUUGCGUAUCUUUUCAAUAUGUAGACAGGGGUUCAAAUUAGCGGUGAUCCGAGGUCCGCGACCUUCCACUUUUGCAGUCGGACUUUCGACUUGGUUACUAGCUACGCCCGACAUGCCACUUGAAAGAAAAUAAUAAAUAACUUUGCAAACCUUUUUACCAAAGUCUCCAAAUAAACGAUCUCAAAACUUAUUUUCAUCAUUAUUAUUCAUGACAGCGAUGUUCAUUUUGUUCAACCGCUAGCUUUAUACAGAAAAUCGCCGACAAAUAAUGUGUAAAUUCGAGUAAAAUCGUAUCUGACUGACAAAAACAACAUUGAAAACAAAAUGGAUGACAAUUACAAUAUCGGAUCCGAUUCCGGAAGCGGAUAAGAGUAAUUCCGGAUUUUGGCGAUCAACUAAAAAAAUUCCAUACAGGUGACAAAAUACAUCUAUGCAUGGUAAAUAAAUAUAAACACUAGAAUUGAAACCCAAAAGAUAUAUGUUAAAGAAAGAAAAAGCAGAAAAUAUUUUGUACAGAAACUCAAAAUUACUUUUUGACAAAUUUAAAUGUCAAAAUCCAAUAGAAUGUGACAGCUGGGAACAGUAUAUCUAACAAUAAAUAUGUUCCUGGUGACAGUAUAAAUUUUCUUUAUCAGUGAUAAAUGUUGAUAAUGCAUGUGAGAUGCUUUUAAAGUCUAAACAUAUUCCUGCAAUUUCAAUGGGUAUUUUUUUUUCUCAAUUUUGAAGGGUCAUUUAAAAUAGCUGGAAGUUUCUUACUUUAUUUUCACAAAUAGUGCAACUAGAUUAUAUGAUACCUGAAUGUAAGCAAAUCAUAUGAUAUAUAGGUGGAGUCCUUUGGGUCACUCUACCCCCUCCUGUUUGAUAACUUUGAAACGGAUGAGAUCCCCA
This 1343-nucleotide long non-coding RNA is filed under the name Mytilus galloprovincialis (Mediterranean mussel). The record is from RNAcentral. Lineage: Eukaryota; Metazoa; Mollusca; Bivalvia; Mytilida; Mytilidae.